This 545-nucleotide small RNA is filed under the name Oryza sativa Japonica Group (Japanese rice). RNAcentral describes it as "sRNA Os03g0133050". The record is from RNAcentral. Lineage: Eukaryota; Viridiplantae; Streptophyta; Magnoliopsida; Poales; Poaceae.
GCGGCGCGGCGGCGCGGGCGGCGCCGUAGUCGGGGAGGCGGUACUCGUUCAUGACCCAGUCCGUCUUGGUGCCGCGCGGGGCGCGACCCUGGUAGAAGACGAGCGUCUUCUUGAGCCCGAUCACCCGCUUCGGGUCGCCGGAGCUCCGGAUCGCCCUGUCCGACCCCGUCGCCUUCCAGAACCCGCGCUCCGUCGUCCGGUUCGGCCGCCCGCCGUUCCCGGCCUUCCUGUCCCGCGGCACGAAGAAGUACCACUCCCUCUCCCCGAUCUUCGCCAUGCCUGCACAUUUUUACAAGAAACACACACAUCAUCAUCAUCAGAUCAUCCAGCUCAAACACUGUCUCCGUUCUUGCUGAACUCUCACUGUGUGUUGGUGUUUACCUGGGAGGUCCCAGGGAUCAUGGCGGUAGAUGUUGAGGGUGCCGAUGAUGUUGAAGUGGAGCUUCUUGCCUAGGACGACGCGGGAGAGGUAGAAGUCGAGGAGCUCCUCCUCCGUGGGGUGGAAACGGAAGCCCGGGAGGUCCUGCUCCACCUCCAUGGACGGC